Long non-coding RNA from Oncorhynchus tshawytscha (Chinook salmon), 1034 nucleotides. NCBI's taxonomy places the organism in Eukaryota, Metazoa, Chordata, Actinopteri, Salmoniformes, Salmonidae. The record is from Ensembl.
GUUGUUAACAGGGUAAACUCACCAGAAUAAAGUUGUUAACAGGGUAAACUCUACAGAAUAAGGUUGUUAACAGGGUAAACUCUACAGAAUAAAGAUGUUACCAGGGUAAACUCUACAGAAUAAAGUUGUUAACAGGGUAAACUCUACAGAAUAAAGUUGUUAACAGGGUAAACUCUACAGAAUAAAGAUGUUACCAGGGUAAACUCUACAGAAUAAGGUUGUUAACAGGGUAAACUCACCAGAAUAAAGUUGUUAACAGGGUAAACUCUACAGAAUAAGGUUGUUAACAGGGUAAACUCUACAGAAUAAAGUUGUUAACAGGGUAAACUCUACAGAAUAAGGUUGUUAACAGGGUAAACUCUACAGAAUAAAGAUGUCUGAACACAGAACAUGUUAAUGGGUAAACUGCUGGUCAACAUUUUGACACAGCUGAAUCAACAACCAGUAGAAGCACAUCACACACCUUGUCUACGUCCCAAAUAGCAUCCUAUUCCUUGUUUCGUGCCCUACUUUAAUCUAGAGCCCUAUUCCCUGUAUUGUGCCCUACUUUAAUCUAGAGCCCUGAUCCCUGUAUCGUGCCCUACUUUCAUCUAGAGCCCUAUUCCCUGUAUCGUGCCCUACUUUCAACCAGAGCCCUAUUCCCUGUAUCGUGCCCUACUUUCAACCAGAGCCCUGAUCCCUGUUUCGUGCCCUACUUUCAACCAGAGCCCUAUUCCCUGUAUCGUGCCCUACUUUCAACCAGAGCCCUGGUAGUGGCCCUUAGGAUGAAUAGGAUGCCAUUUGGGACGUAGACCUUCGCCAGGUUUAUGAGGGGAAACCAACGCAUCCACACCUGCUAGGUAUGAACCCCGUGGGUGCGAACCACAGAAACACCCAGACACACAUCCCAGGACAUAUUCAUUAGGCGCACACACAGAGACACACACAGAAACACCCAGACACACACACACAAACACCCAGACACACACCCCAGGACAUAUUCAUUAGGCGCACACACAGACACACACACACACAGAAACACACACAGACACACA